This 253-nucleotide ribosomal RNA is filed under the name uncultured Flavobacteriaceae bacterium. Its description in RNAcentral is "partial 16S ribosomal RNA". It matches the Rfam family "Bacterial small subunit ribosomal RNA", at positions 524 to 776 of the family's 1533-position model. The record is from RNAcentral. Lineage: Bacteria; Pseudomonadati; Bacteroidota; Flavobacteriia; Flavobacteriales; Flavobacteriaceae.
UACGGAGGGUGCAAGCGUUAUCCGGAUUUAUUGGGUUUAAAGGGUCCGUAGGCGGGCUUAUAAGUCAGCGGUGAAAGUUUGCAGCUUAACUGUAAAAUUGCCAUUGAUACUGUAGGGCUUGAAUUUUUGUGAAGUAACUAGAAUAUGUAGUGUAGCGGUGAAAUGCUUAGAUAUUACAUGGAAUACCAAUUGCGAAGGCAGAUUACUAACAAACGAUUGACGCUGAUGGACGAAAGCGUGGGUAGCGAACAGG